This 465-nucleotide ribosomal RNA is filed under the name uncultured bacterium. Its description in RNAcentral is "partial 16S ribosomal RNA". It matches the Rfam family "Bacterial small subunit ribosomal RNA", at positions 28 to 507 of the family's 1533-position model. The record is from RNAcentral.
GACGAACGCUGGCGGCGUGCUUAACACAUGCAGGUCGAACGGAAAGGCCCUGCUUGCAGGGUACUCGAGUGGCGAACGGGUGAGUAACACGUGGGUGAUCUGCCCUGCACUUCGGGAUAAGCCUGGGAAACUGGGUCUAAUACCGGAUAGGAGCCAUUUUUAGUGUGAUGGUUGGAAAGUUUUUUCGGUGUAGGAUGAGCUCGCGGCCUAUCAGCUUGUUGGUGGGGUAAUGGCCUACCAAGGCGGCGACGGGUAGCCGGCCUGAGAGGGUGGACGGCCACAUUGGGACUGAGAUACGGCCCAGACUCCUACGGGAGGCAGCGGUGGGGAAUAUUGCACAAUGGGCGCAAGCCUGAUGCAGCGACGCCGCGUGGGGGAUGACGGCCUUCGGGUUGUAAACUCCUUUCGCUAGGGACGAAGCUUUUUGUGACGGUACCUAGAUAAGAAGCACCGGCUAACUACGUG